UUGAUGAACAAGGGUUCUCCAGCCUCUCGC
This 30-nucleotide non-coding RNA is filed under the name Rattus norvegicus (Norway rat). The record is from RNAcentral. Lineage: Eukaryota; Metazoa; Chordata; Mammalia; Rodentia; Muridae.